GAUGAACGCUGGCGGCGUGCCUAAUACAUGCAAGUCGAGCGAACAGACGAGGAGCUUGCUCCUCUGACGUUAGCGGCGGACGGGUGAGUAACACGUGGAUAACCUACCUAUAAGACUGGGAUAACUUCGGGAAACCGGAGCUAAUACCGGAUAACAUGUUGAACCGCAUGGUUCAACAGUGAAAGACGGUCUUGCUGUCACUUAUAGAUGGAUCCGCGCCGCAUUAGCUAGUUGGUAAGGUAACGGCUUACCAAGGCAACGAUGCGUAGCCGACCUGAGAGGGGGAUCGGCCACACUGGAACUGAGACACGGUCCAGACUCCUACGGGAGGCAGCAGUAGGGAAUCUUCCGCAAUGGGCGAAAGCCUGACGGAGCAACGCCGCGUGAGUGAUGAAGGUCUUCGGAUCGUAAAACUCUGUUAUUAGGGAAGAACAAAUGUGUAAGUAACUAUGCACGUCUUGACGGUACCUAAUCAGAAAGCCACGGCUAACUACGU
This 496-nucleotide ribosomal RNA is filed under the name uncultured bacterium. RNAcentral's name for it is "partial 16S ribosomal RNA". It matches the Rfam family "Bacterial small subunit ribosomal RNA", at positions 28 to 506 of the family's 1533-position model. The record is from RNAcentral.